UUAAAUUGAAGAGUUUGAUCAUGGCUCAGAUUGAACGCUGGCGGCAGGCCUAACACAUGCAAGUCGAACGGUAAAAGGAAGCAGCUUGCUGCUUU
This 95-nucleotide ribosomal RNA is filed under the name Salmonella enterica subsp. enterica serovar Enteritidis. Its description in RNAcentral is "partial 16S ribosomal RNA". It matches the Rfam family "Bacterial small subunit ribosomal RNA", at positions 1 to 89 of the family's 1533-position model. The record is from RNAcentral. Lineage: Bacteria; Pseudomonadati; Pseudomonadota; Gammaproteobacteria; Enterobacterales; Enterobacteriaceae.